GCAGUUGCCACGGGAAUACGUAGGUGGCAAGCGUUGUCCGGAUUUAUUGGGCGUAAAGCGAGCGCAGGCGGUUUCUUAAGUCUGAUGUGAAAGCCCCCGGCUCAACCGGGGAGGGUCAUUGGAAACUGGGAGACUUGAGUGCAGAAGAGGAGAGUGGAAUUCCAUGUGUAGCGGUGAAAUGCGUAGAUAUAUGGAGGAACACCAGUGGCGAAGGCGGCUCUCUGGUCUGUAACUGACGCUGAGGCUCGAAAGCGUGGGGAGCGAACAGGAUUAGAUACCCCCGUAGUCCCUGUCUCUUAUAA
RNAcentral lists this ribosomal RNA (302 nucleotides) under uncultured bacterium. RNAcentral's name for it is "partial 16S ribosomal RNA". It matches the Rfam family "Bacterial small subunit ribosomal RNA", at positions 508 to 809 of the family's 1533-position model. The record is from RNAcentral.